Molecule: ribosomal RNA, 274 nt
Filed under: uncultured bacterium
Lineage: Bacteria
Description: partial 16S ribosomal RNA
Rfam family: Bacterial small subunit ribosomal RNA
Source: RNAcentral
AUACAGAGGGUGCAAACGUUGUUCGGAAUCACUGGGCAUAAAGCGCGCGUAGGCGGCAUGUUAAGUGUGAAGUGAAAUCCCACGGCUUACCCGUGGAACUGCUUUGCAUACUGGCAGGCUCGAGGACGGUAGGGUAGAGCGGAACUCUUGGUGGAGCGGUGAAAUGCGUAGAUAUCAAGGGGAACACCGAUGGCGAAGGCAGCUCUCUGGUCCGUUUCUGACGCUGAGGUGCGAAAGCUAGGGUAGCGAACGGGAUUAGAAACCCGAGUAGUCC